UGGUCCCGUGGCAGACGGGUGCGUAACGCGUGGGAACUUGCCUGGUAGUAGGGAAUAACCAGUGGAAACAUUGGGCAACACCCUAUACGCCCUGAGGGGGAAAAUUUAUUGCUAUCAGAUAGGCCCGCGUUAGAUUAGCUAGUUGGUGGGGUAAUGGCCUACCAAGGCGACGAUCUAUAGCUGGUCUGAGAGGAUGAUCAGCCACACUGGAACUGAGACACGGUCCAGACUCCUACGGGAGGCAGCAGUGAGGAAUAUUGGACAAUGGGCGAAAGCCUGAUCCAGCCAUACCGCAUGAGUGAUGAAGGCCCUUGGGUUGUAAAGCUCUUUUAGUGGGGAAGAUAAUGACGGUACCCACA
This 359-nucleotide ribosomal RNA is filed under the name Neorickettsia risticii (Potomac horse fever agent). RNAcentral describes it as "bacterial SSU rRNA". It matches the Rfam family "Bacterial small subunit ribosomal RNA", at positions 88 to 483 of the family's 1533-position model. Lineage: Bacteria; Pseudomonadati; Pseudomonadota; Alphaproteobacteria; Rickettsiales; Anaplasmataceae. The record is from RNAcentral.